This is a long non-coding RNA of Arabidopsis thaliana (thale cress), 394 nucleotides long. RefSeq annotates it as other RNA. NCBI's taxonomy places the organism in Eukaryota, Viridiplantae, Streptophyta, Magnoliopsida, Brassicales, Brassicaceae. The record is from RefSeq. The transcript has a single exon.
GAUGACGCCUCCUCCACAAAUUGGGCCUUUAAGACUCAAGCCCAAAUAGUUCAGUAUUAUUGGGCUUAAAUUAGCUCGAUAAGCCUUUCUUGAAUUUACCUUUUUUUCUUUAAUUUAUUGGCAAAUCUAUGCCACGCAUGUACCUUUUGACUUUGGACCUUUUAAACAUGUGAACGUUACCUUCCACUCUAAAUUUAACGACCAGUCGACCAGAAUUUAAUUCGUUACAUAUGAUCAAGUAGUAUCAAUGGACUAAUACAAAGUGUUUUUUUCCUAAGACUAAUACAAAGUUGACAGACGUCAGACGUGACAACACAUCGAACUCAAUACCGAGUCUCUUCGUCGUCUCUUUAUAUUUCUUCCAAUAUUCAUUUCACUUCUCUGUUCCCUCCUU